UUGUACUGAACAGUGUGGAACGAAAUCGUCACUUUGAGCGUGCAUGUACUUGAGUGUUUGGUAGAUUUCUUCUAUCUGGUAGUACUGAUCAAGAAGGUGUUGACUUGUACAUUCAGUUCACAUGGCCGAGAUAUGCACUUGUUUAACUUCACACUUGUUAUUUACAGUCCAGGAUCUGCUAAACCUUGCAAGUACAGGAGGAUGAGUGCUCUCUCUCCUACAGGUCAAAGAGGCCUCCAGGUCAAACAAUGCUUGCUGUCAUUAGAAACCGAUCAAACUUAAAAUUCCGUGCAAAACCAUGUGCUUGAGAUUUCCCACUGAAAUACUCAUGCUGAGACCUUGCUAGGUUACUUGCGUGAGCAACGAGAAGGGGGCAGCUCCAGAGCUGGACCAGGCGGCGCAGCUACGAGCAUGGCUCGGUAACACGCUGGUCAUGCGACAAAGCUACGAGCUUGGCUAGGCAAUGCAGCACUGAUAUGGUGAAAUACAGAAAGCACCUCUUCCAGCUGUAGCACCUGCUGGCUCAACAUUGCUUGAAAUGGCAUGUGAGUUAAUUCUCUGAUGCUGAACUUGAUGGUUUGCACUAGCAGGUGCCUGAAUUUGCGCAACAUUUGUACGCGGGUCUGAAGGUGCUGCUCCAUCAAGUCUGUUCUCACUCGGCAAACGAGAUCAUGAAGCUUCAUCACCAGCUACAGGCAUAUUAAUGAGAAAAGUAUUAACCCUUUGGCGCACGAAGAAGUACAAAACUGAAGAAUAACAAAUUACCUUUGAAUCUGUCGGUGGCAAUUCAUCAAACAACUCAGGUGUCGGCGACCUUGCUACGUCCCAUGGCUCCUUUAGGUCAUGUACGGUCUGAAAUAAAUUGAUGAAAUUGGUUCCUAUUUUAUAAUGAAAAUAAAUAUGGAAGAAUAAAUACAAAUGUUGUACAAUACGUAAUUUAUGUACCUCUCCGGCCUGAAGGCCGUGCUUAUCAAAAAUAGCACAGACUUUGCGCA
Non-coding RNA from Aegilops tauschii subsp. strangulata, 995 nucleotides. NCBI's taxonomy places the organism in Eukaryota, Viridiplantae, Streptophyta, Magnoliopsida, Poales, Poaceae. The record is from RefSeq and is a predicted model, not a curated record.